GGGAUUGCCUCAGUAACGGCGAGUGAAGCGGCAAAAGCUCAAAUUUGAAAUCUAGCACUUUCAGUGUUCGAGUUGUAAUUUGAAGAAGGUAACUUUGGUUUUGGCUCUUGUCUAUGUUCCUUGGAACAGGACGUCACAGAGGGUGAGAAUCCCGUGCGAUGAGAUGCCCAAUUCCAUGUAAAGUGCUUUCGAAGAGUCGAGUUGUUUGGGAAUGCAGCUCUAAGUGGGUGGUAAAUUCCAUCUAAAGCUAAAUAUUGGCGAGAGACCGAUAGCGAACAAGUACAGUGAUGGAAAGAUGAAAAGAACUUUGAAAAGAGAGUGAAAAAGUACGUGAAAUUGUUGAAAGGGAAGGGCUUGAGAUCAGACUUGGUAUUUUGCGUUCCCUUCCUUUUUGGUUGGGUUCCUCGCAGUUUACUGGGCCAGCAUCGGUUUGGAUGGUAGGAUAAUGACAUUGGAAUGUAGCUUUACUUCGGUGAAGUGUUAUAGACUUUGUUGAUACUGCCUAUCUAGACCGAGGACUGCGUCUUUGACUAGGAUGCUGGCGUAAUGAUCUUAAGCCGCCCGUCUUGAAACACGGACCUCCUGUGUGAG
RNAcentral lists this ribosomal RNA (591 nucleotides) under Dujonia zeylanoides. RNAcentral describes it as "eukaryotic LSU rRNA". It matches the Rfam family "Eukaryotic large subunit ribosomal RNA", at positions 71 to 664 of the family's 3401-position model. The record is from RNAcentral. Lineage: Eukaryota; Fungi; Ascomycota; Pichiomycetes; Serinales; Debaryomycetaceae.